CCUACGGGAGGCAGCAGUGGGGAAUAUUGCACAAUGGGGGAAACCCUGAUGCAGCGACGCCGCGUGAGCGAUGAAGUAUUUCGGUAUGUAAAGCUCUAUCAGCAGGGAAGAAAAUGACGGUACCUGACUAAGAAGCCCCGGCUAACUACGUGACAGCAGCCGCGGUAAUACGUAGGGGGCAAGCGUUAUCCGGAUUUACUGGGUGUAAAGGGGGCGUAGACGGGGAUGCAAGCCAGAUGUGAAAGCCAGGGGCUCAACCCCGGGACUGCAUUUGUAACUGUAUAGCUGGAGUGUCGGAGAGGCAGGCGGAAUUCCUAGUGUAGCGGUGAAAUGCGUAGAUAUUAGGAGGAACACCAGUGGCGAAGGCGGACUGCUGGACGAUGACUGACGUUGAGGCUCGAAAGCGUGGGGAGCAAACAGGAUUAGAUACCCCAGUAGUC
Molecule: ribosomal RNA, 440 nt
Filed under: uncultured bacterium
Lineage: Bacteria
Description: partial 16S ribosomal RNA
Rfam family: Bacterial small subunit ribosomal RNA
Source: RNAcentral